UAAGUAGAUAGUGAAAUCUGGUGGCUCAACCAUUCAGACUAUUAUCUAAACUGCCAAGCUCGAGAAUGUUAGGGGUAGCUGGAAUUUCUAAUGUAGGAGUGAAAUCCGUAGAUAUUAGAAGGAACACCGAUAGCGUAGGCAGGCUACUGGGCAUUUCUGACACUAAGGCACGAAAGCGUGGGAGCAAACGGGAUUAGAUACCCCGGUAGUCCACGCUGUAAACGAUGGAUGCUA
This 234-nucleotide ribosomal RNA is filed under the name uncultured Candidatus Saccharibacteria bacterium. RNAcentral describes it as "partial 16S ribosomal RNA". It matches the Rfam family "Bacterial small subunit ribosomal RNA", at positions 584 to 818 of the family's 1533-position model. Lineage: Bacteria; Candidatus Saccharimonadota. The record is from RNAcentral.